Molecule: ribosomal RNA, 481 nt
Filed under: uncultured bacterium
Lineage: Bacteria
Description: partial 16S ribosomal RNA
Rfam family: Bacterial small subunit ribosomal RNA
Source: RNAcentral
GAUGAACGCUGGCGGCGUGCUUAACACAUGCAAGUCGAACGAAGCAUUUAAGACAGAUUACUUCGGUUUGAAGUCUUUUAUGACUGAGUGGCGGACGGGUGAGUAACGCGUGGGUAACCUGCCUCAUACAGGGGGAUAGCAGCUGGAAACGGCUGGUAAUACCGCAUAAGCGCGCAGUACCACAUGGUACAGUGUGAAAAACUCCGGUGGUAUGGGAUGGACCCGCGUCUGAUUAGCUAGUUGGCGGGGUAACGGCCCACCAAGGCGACGAUCAGUAGCCGACCUGAGAGGGUGACCGGCCACAUUGGGACUGAGACACGGCCCAGACUCCUACGGGAGGCAGCAGUGGGGAAUAUUGCACAAUGGAGGAAACUCUGAUGCAGCGACGCCGCGUGAGUGAAGAAGUAGUUCGCUAUGUAAAGCUCUAUCAGCAGGGAAGAUAGUGACGGUACCUGACGAAGAAGCUCCGGCUAAAUACGUG